This 105-nucleotide unclassified non-coding RNA is filed under the name Artemisia barrelieri. RNAcentral describes it as "partial miscellaneous RNA". Lineage: Eukaryota; Viridiplantae; Streptophyta; Magnoliopsida; Asterales; Asteraceae. The record is from RNAcentral.
UAUGGAACCACCGUUGUGUGCUCCGUGCAUUACGUCGAAGGCAAAUACGCCCUCUAAUCGAUGCGUAACUUGCGCGCAUCGGUGGGGCUUGAUAAGACAAUCAAG